UCUGCGCUGUUUUGCUAAUGCCUAAUACCAACAAGAUCAGAAAAAUCAGAUGUGCUUGAGCCUAAUUAAAUGUAAUGAGUUUAAUAAUUCUGUAUUCUGAUAAUAUACAUAUUUUUGCAGUGUAAUGCAACCCAUUUUAUGUAGGUACUGGGAAAAAAGCAUAAUUUCAGUAUUUGAAUUUGCUUUCAAAAUCAACAUAAAAUGUUGUUUGCAAUCAAUUUUACUUGCUUUUAUCCACUAGGAGCCGUAAAAGGAAUGGAAAAAUGUAUCAAGAACUACAAGAAGUUGAGAUUCAGCUAAUGAUUAUUUCAGACAGCGAGUUAUAAAGUUUAAUUACUCUCUGUUCCUUGCGCAGGUGUUCCAUCGCCAGCUGAAACUCUCUUUCUUUUGCCCAGGCCUCUGCGAUGGUGGCUUGGUUUUGCUCUUCAUAUGCCAUGGCCACGACAGCCAGGAUCAAGUUCACCAGAUCUGUUCCAGUUCAGCAUCAGUUAACAGGUUAAAUCUGUGCAUUAGUCUCAGGAUUGAGGUUGCCAUGAGGAUGGAGGAGCUCAGGUCUCUAUAGUAACUGUGUCCUGGAGGAGAAUGAAACGAUGGUAAUAAGAGUGUCUCUCGGGAUCUUCCUACUCACAUAAAGAGAGAGAAAAGAUCAGUGCAAAUCCACUAUGUUCUGUUGUCGUGAAAACAGCCAUUAACAAACCUACAAAAGGGCUUAGGAGGGAUCAGAUGUGAAUGUAGAGGGGAAAUCCUCUCUGGGUUGUGUGCCUUGAGCCGAGGAGAGCACUGAUGGGAACUGAAAGUGUUAAACCCUGAUCACAGACAGACACACGGAUCAUUGUUUCUUCUUACUGGGUGAGGCUGAUAUGAGCUGUAAAGGCUCACAGGAUGAGGUUUGAAGUAGUGAAACUUUGAAUAAUCUUGAGAAAUUACAAAACACUAUGUUAAGUAAAGAAUGCUUGCUUUUUGUGCAUUUUGUUUGUUUAAUUCAGCAAGUAAAUUAGUUGAAUUUUCAAGAUAAAUGCAAGGAAAUUACAUCUUGCAGUUUAUAAAAUGAUUCCCUCAAUUGUUCUGUUUUUGGUUUAUUUUUGUUUCAGUUCCUCAUAGUCACUAAUACCCCUAACAGUGCAAUAUUUCACAUUAACACAUGGUAUUUAGCACAAUAAAAUCCUUGAACUAGCCCUGACACCACAAAUAUCAUCCUGUGGCUCUGGCAUGAACAAGGUUGGGAUUUGCAGGAUUAUGUCUCUGCACUGUGGAGACGGAGACGGUUAGUGAGACCCACAAUGAAGGACUUUCACUCGUAAUUCAGUGGAUUAUUGGUGUGGAUUGUUUAUGCACAAACAAAAUAACUCUCAGCGUUCAUGAACUGAAUACAUUACAGUGCUUCUUUUAAAGUGGAAUUCUUUUAAUGCAGACAUUUUUUUAAAUAAGUAAACAGAACUUUUGCUCAUUUUAAACCUUUGCAGUAAUUGCAGUAAUUUAAGAGAAUAAUCAGGUGUUAAAAAGGUAUAAACUGAUCACUCUUCCACAAAUUAAGACACUGGGGUUAAAUUAAUAGUGCAUUUUGGGUAAACCAU
Long non-coding RNA from Carassius auratus (goldfish), 1574 nucleotides. RefSeq lists it as uncharacterized. The transcript is spliced from 3 exons. The record is from RefSeq and is a predicted model, not a curated record. NCBI's taxonomy places the organism in Eukaryota, Metazoa, Chordata, Actinopteri, Cypriniformes, Cyprinidae.